Molecule: ribosomal RNA, 496 nt
Filed under: uncultured bacterium
Lineage: Bacteria
Description: partial 16S ribosomal RNA
Rfam family: Bacterial small subunit ribosomal RNA
Source: RNAcentral
AUGAACGCUGGCGGCGUGCCUAAUACAUGCAAGUCGAGCGAACAGACGAGGAGCUUGCUCCUCUGACGUUAGCGGCGGACGGGUGAGUAACACGUGGAUAACCUACCUAUAAGACUGGGAUAACUUCGGGAAACCGGAGCUAAUACCGGAUAAUAUAUUGAACCGCAUGGUUCAAUAGUGAAAGACGGUUUUGCUGUCACUUAUAGAUGGAUCCGCGCCGCAUUAGCUAGUUGGUAAGGUAACGGCUUACCAAGGCGACGAUGCGUAGCCGACCUGAGAGGGUGAUCGGCCACACUGGAACUGAGACACGGUCCAGACUCCUACGGGAGGCAGCAGUAGGGAAUCUUCCGCAAUGGGCGAAAGCCUGGCGGAGCAACGCCGCGUGAGUGAUGAAGGUCUUCGGAUCGUAAAACUCUGUUAUUAGGGAAGAACAAAUGUGUAAGUAACUAUGCACGUCUUGACGGUACCUAAUCAGAAAGCCACGGCUAACUACGUG